Molecule: ribosomal RNA, 842 nt
Filed under: Nymphargus grandisonae (giant glass frog)
Lineage: Eukaryota; Metazoa; Chordata; Amphibia; Anura; Centrolenidae
Description: partial 16S ribosomal RNA
Rfam family: Bacterial large subunit ribosomal RNA
Source: RNAcentral
AACCAACCCCGCACCACCCGAGAACCCUUACACGAUACUGAGUAAUUCUAUACUCCCAUAUAGAAGAUUUUAUGUUAAAACUAGUAACAAGAAGAAGAACUUCUCUUACAAUGCAAGUGUAAAUCAGACAGGACACCCCACCGACAAUUAACACCAAUGAACAAAAAGUAGUAACUUAACAAGAAAACCCUACUACACCGUAUGUUAACCUAACACCAGAGCAUUACAAGAAAGAUUCAAAGAAAGAGAAGGAACUCGGCAAAUAUUAACCUCGCCUGUUUACCAAAAACAUCGCCUCUUGAAAACAUAAGAGGUCCAGCCUGCCCAGUGACUCUGUUCAACGGCCGCGGUAUCCUAACCGUGCGAAGGUAGCGUAAUCACUUGUUCUUUAAAUGAGGACUAGUAUGAACGGCACCACGAAGGUUAUACUGUCUCCUCUUUCCAAUCAGUAAAACUAAUCUCCCCGUGAAGAAGCGAGGAUGAACAUAUAAGACGAGAAGACCCUAUGGAGCUUCAAACUACACAACACCUGUUUUAACACAAUUAAAUUUCAGAAAAACCCCCUUCACCCCAGCAGGAUGAUUGACAGUUUUAGGUUGGGGUGACCGCGGAGCACAAGACAACCUCCUCAUUGAAAGGAACCCACUCCUUAGCCAAGAGCUACGCCUCCACGCACCAAUAAAAUGACAUUAAUUGACCCAAUAUAUUGAUCAACGAACCAAGUUACCCUAGGGAUAACAGCGCAAUCCACUUUAAGAGCCCCUAUCGACAAGUGGGUUUACGACCUCGAUGUUGGAUCAGGGUAUCCCGGUGGUGCAGCCGCUACCAAAGGUUCGUUUGUU